RNAcentral lists this non-coding RNA (24 nucleotides) under Gossypium hirsutum (cotton). Lineage: Eukaryota; Viridiplantae; Streptophyta; Magnoliopsida; Malvales; Malvaceae. The record is from RNAcentral.
AAGGUGUCUGUUUCUAUUAAAAGG